RNAcentral lists this ribosomal RNA (1485 nucleotides) under Enterococcus mundtii. Its description in RNAcentral is "bacterial SSU rRNA". It matches the Rfam family "Bacterial small subunit ribosomal RNA". Lineage: Bacteria; Bacillati; Bacillota; Bacilli; Lactobacillales; Enterococcaceae. The record is from RNAcentral.
AGAGUUUGAUCAUGGCUCAGGACGAACGCUGGCGGCGUGCCUAAUACAUGCAAGUCGAACGCUUCUUUUCCCACCGGAGCUUGCUCCACCGGGAAAAGAGGAGUGGCGAACGGGUGAGUAACACGUGGGUAACCUGCCCAUCAGAAGGGGAUAACACUUGGAAACAGGUGCUAAUACCGUAUAACAAUCGAAACCGCAUGGUUUCGUUUUGAAAGGCGCUUUACGGUGCCGCUGAUGGAUGGACCCGCGGUGCAUUAGCUAGUUGGUGAGGUAACGGCUCACCAAGGCCACGAUGCAUAGCCGACCUGAGAGGGUGAUCGGCCACAUUGGGACUGAGACACGGCCCAAACUCCUACGGGAGGCAGCAGUAGGGAAUCUUCGGCAAUGGACGAAAGUCUGACCGAGCAACGCCGCGUGAGUGAAGAAGGUUUUCGGAUCGUAAAACUCUGUUGUUAGAGAAGAACAAGGGUGAGAGUAACUGUUCACCCCUUGACGGUAUCUAACCAGAAAGCCACGGCUAACUACGUGCCAGCAGCCGCGGUAAUACGUAGGUGGCAAGCGUUGUCCGGAUUUAUUGGGCGUAAAGCGAGCGCAGGCGGUUUCUUAAGUCUGAUGUGAAAGCCCCCGGCUCAACCGGGGAGGGUCAUUGGAAACUGGGAGACUUGAGUGCAGAAGAGGAGAGUGGAAUUCCAUGUGUAGCGGUGAAAUGCGUAGAUAUAUGGAGGAACACCAGUGGCGAAGGCGGCUCUCUGGUCUGUAACUGACGCUGAGGCUCGAAAGCGUGGGGAGCAAACAGGAUUAGAUACCCUGGUAGUCCACGCCGUAAACGAUGAGUGCUAAGUGUUGGAGGGUUUCCGCCCUUCAGUGCUGCAGCUAACGCAUUAAGCACUCCGCCUGGGGAGUACGACCGCAAGGUUGAAACUCAAAGGAAUUGACGGGGGCCCGCACAAGCGGUGGAGCAUGUGGUUUAAUUCGAAGCAACGCGAAGAACCUUACCAGGUCUUGACAUCCUUUGACCACUCUAGAGAUAGAGCUUCCCCUUCGGGGGCAAAGUGACAGGUGGUGCAUGGUUGUCGUCAGCUCGUGUCGUGAGAUGUUGGGUUAAGUCCCGCAACGAGCGCAACCCUUAUUGUUAGUUGCCAUCAUUUAGUUGGGCACUCUAGCAAGACUGCCGGUGACAAACCGGAGGAAGGUGGGGAUGACGUCAAAUCAUCAUGCCCCUUAUGACCUGGGCUACACACGUGCUACAAUGGGAAGUACAACGAGUCGCGAAGUCGCGAGGCUAAGCUAAUCUCUUAAAGCUUCUCUCAGUUCGGAUUGUAGGCUGCAACUCGCCUACAUGAAGCCGGAAUCGCUAGUAAUCGCGGAUCAGCACGCCGCGGUGAAUACGUUCCCGGGCCUUGUACACACCGCCCGUCACACCACGAGAGUUUGUAACACCCGAAGUCGGUGAGGUAACCUUUUUGGAGCCAGCCGCCUAAGGUG